AAACACGUAAUCGACCUAAGAAGAAUCUGGAACUAAAACAGGUAAUCGACCUAAGAAGAAUUCGGGGCCAAAACAGACACCGAUCGAUGGUUAGAUAAACAUCAAUCAGAAAAGGUAAAAGUCAUUAAUGACCAAUUAAUAUGUUCAGUGGUCAUAUUAAAUGUGAAUAUAUGCUAUUUAUAAGUGAAGUGAUUGACCGGUCAUAUUACACAAGAAUAUGAUAUUAAUGAACCAUUAACACAAGCCUUAUAAGUAUACCAUUGACUGACGUUCAGCUAAAAGAACCUUGAGCUAUCCUAAAUAAAAUAUAUAGACAUCUUUAUACAACAUAUCUGACUUGAGCGUCGGAGUAUCUUUUGCAAGUCCACUACCCAUCGGAGAAUUGUGUUCUCAAAAGGGAACGAUCCAGAAAGAGCAGAGAAGAAAGAUCAACCGACCAUCGAACUAAAUCU
Molecule: long non-coding RNA, 452 nt
Filed under: Vigna radiata
Lineage: Eukaryota; Viridiplantae; Streptophyta; Magnoliopsida; Fabales; Fabaceae
Description: long non-coding RNA (VRAD_LNC006997)
Source: RNAcentral